This 443-nucleotide ribosomal RNA is filed under the name Rothia aeria. RNAcentral's name for it is "bacterial SSU rRNA". It matches the Rfam family "Bacterial small subunit ribosomal RNA", at positions 59 to 510 of the family's 1533-position model. The record is from RNAcentral. Lineage: Bacteria; Bacillati; Actinomycetota; Actinomycetes; Micrococcales; Micrococcaceae.
AAGUCGAACGAUGAAGCGGUGCUUGCACCGUGGAUUAGUGGCGAACGGGUGAGUAAUACGUGAGUGACCUACCUUUGACUCUGGGAUAAGCCUGGGAAACUGGGUCUAAUACCGGAUACGACCAAUCUCUGCAUGGGGUGUUGGUGGAAAGCGUUAUGGAGUGGUUUUAGAUGGGCUCACGGCCUAUCAGCUUGUUGGUGAGGUAAUGGCUUACCAAGGCGACGACGGGUAGCCGGCCUGAGAGGGUGACCGGCCACACUGGGACUGAGACACGGCCCAGACUCCUACGGGAGGCAGCAGUGGGGAAUAUUGCACAAUGGGCGCAAGCCUGAUGCAGCGACGCCGCGUGAGGGAUGACGGCCUUCGGGUUGUAAACCUCUGUUAGCAUCUAAGAAGCGAAAGUGACGGKAGGUGCAGAGAAAGCGCCGGCUAACUACGUGCCA